Molecule: ribosomal RNA, 443 nt
Filed under: uncultured bacterium
Lineage: Bacteria
Description: bacterial SSU rRNA
Rfam family: Bacterial small subunit ribosomal RNA
Source: RNAcentral
ACGCAAUAGAUACCCUGGUAGUCCACGCCCUAAACGAUGUCUACUAGUUGUUGGGAGAGUAAAAUCUCUUAGUAAACGCAGCUAAACGCGUGAAGUAGACCGCCUGGGGAGUACGGUCGCAAGAUUAAAAACUCAAAGGAAUUGACGGGGGCCCGCACAAGCGGUGGAUUAUGUGGAUUAAAUUCGAUGCAACGCGAAAAACCUUACCUGGCCUUGACAUGCUACUAACGAAGCAGAGAUGCAUUAGGUGCCCGAAAGGGAAAGUAGACACAGGUGCUGCAUGGCUGUCGUCAGCUCGUGUCGUGAGAUGUUGGGUUAAGUCCCGCAACGAGCGCAACCCUUGCCAAUAAUUGCCAUCAUUUAGUUGGGUCACUUUAUUGGGUACUGCCGGUGACAAACCGGAGGAAGGUGGGGAUGACGUCAAGUCCUCAUGGCCCUUAUGG